CCAGACUCCUACGGGAGGCAGCAGUGGGGAAUAUUGGGCAAUGGGCGCAAGCCUGACCCAGCAACGCCGCGUGAAGGAAGAAGGCUUUCGGGUUGUAAACUUCUUUUAAGAGGGAAGAGAAGAAGACGGUACCUCUUGAAUAAGCCACGGCUAACUACGUGCCAGCAGCCGCGGUAAUACGUAGGUGGCAAGCGUUAUCCGGAUUUACUGGGUGUAAAGGGGGCGCAGACGGCAGCGCAAGCCAGGAGUGAAAGCCCGGGGCCCAACCCCGGGACUGCUUUUGAAACUGUUGAACUAGAUUGCAGGAGAGGUAAGUGGAAUUCCUAGUGUAGCGGUGAAAUGCGUAGAUAUUAGGAGGAACACCAGUGGCGAAGGCGGCUUACUGGACUGUAAAUGACGCUGAGGCUCGAAAGCGUGGGGAGCAAACAGGAUUAGAUACCCUGGUAC
Molecule: ribosomal RNA, 447 nt
Filed under: uncultured bacterium
Lineage: Bacteria
Description: partial 16S ribosomal RNA
Rfam family: Bacterial small subunit ribosomal RNA
Source: RNAcentral